AAGACUAUACUUUCAGGAAUCAUUUCUAUAGUUUCUAACUUGAGAAAUGUGUUUCUAAAGUGAUUGGUCUUGCUAACCAUGAUGAAGAGGUAAUGAUACUUCUCCCUGAGCGUGAAUCGUACAUCAGUUAGUGAGUUUCUCACAUGACUGUUGUAAUUGGUGACCGUUCACUGAUCGGUGAAUGCCGAUAACGAUGGGAGGAGUAUGUUCAGAGUGGCA
This is a small nucleolar RNA of Oryzias javanicus (javanese ricefish), 219 nucleotides long. The record is from Ensembl. NCBI's taxonomy places the organism in Eukaryota, Metazoa, Chordata, Actinopteri, Beloniformes, Adrianichthyidae.